AAUCUUAAUAGAUCCCAACAAUAUUGUAGUUAUGGCCUUCAAAUUAUGUAGUUUUUAAUCAUUUUAAUUUAAACUCAAUGGAUGAAUCAUUCAUCAUGAAUGUUAUUAAUAUAUAGUUACAAAAUUAUAAAAGAAAAA
RNAcentral lists this small RNA (138 nucleotides) under Arabidopsis thaliana (thale cress). Its description in RNAcentral is "ATSL194580". Lineage: Eukaryota; Viridiplantae; Streptophyta; Magnoliopsida; Brassicales; Brassicaceae. The record is from RNAcentral.